CAGCCGCCACGGGAAUACGGAGGGUGCAAGCGUUAAUUGGAAUUACUGGGCGUAAAGCGCACGCAGGCGGUCUGACAAGUCAGAUGUGAAAUCCCCGGGCUUAACCUGGGAACUGCAUUUGAAACUGUCAGGCUGGAGUCUUGUAGAGGGGGGUAGAAUUCCAGGUGUAGCGGUGAAAUGCGUAGAGAUCUGGAGGAAUACCGGUGGCGAAGGCGGCCCCCUGGACAAAGACUGACGCUCAGGUGCGAAAGCGUGGGGAGCAAACAGGAUUAGAUACCCGCGUAGUCCCUGUCUCUUAUAC
Molecule: ribosomal RNA, 301 nt
Filed under: uncultured bacterium
Lineage: Bacteria
Description: partial 16S ribosomal RNA
Rfam family: Bacterial small subunit ribosomal RNA
Source: RNAcentral